ACCCUUACGGUGUUACAGUUUUCAUUAAGCAUUCUAUGGUUUGUUUUAACAGGUUCAUCAUGUUUGAAAUGGGUUUGUCUUUGUUUUUUAAGAAUUUGUUGUUGAAGGGUGUGAUUUGCAUCAAGUUAGUAGUGUAAAUUAUACUUUAAGAUCUAAGAGAUAUAGUGAAUAUCAUAGAGCUUGAUCUAUUGCUACGCUUCAGUUUAAUGGGCUGAGUUUGUUUGAGGAAGAUGAUGAACUUGUUGGGGAUGACA
Molecule: long non-coding RNA, 254 nt
Filed under: Medicago truncatula (barrel medic)
Lineage: Eukaryota; Viridiplantae; Streptophyta; Magnoliopsida; Fabales; Fabaceae
Description: long non-coding RNA (MTRU_LNC005384)
Source: RNAcentral